This 3316-nucleotide long non-coding RNA is filed under the name Equus asinus (donkey). RNAcentral's name for it is "lncRNA (ENSEASG00005024291.1)". Lineage: Eukaryota; Metazoa; Chordata; Mammalia; Perissodactyla; Equidae. The record is from RNAcentral.
UUUUAUUUUACCCUCAAAAUGAGGUUACUCCAAAAUAGCCAAAAGAAUAGGAAUUCAGGAAGCACAUGCUACGUCAAACCAUAGGCAAAUACCACAAGCAAAGGAGGGGAGCUGCUUUUAUAGAGAAAAAGGGGGAGAGGGAGGGGCUGUUCUAAAGGAAAGUCCACUGGGGGAGAGGAACAGUGCAGGGUGGGAAUGGCUUCUCAUUGGCUGAGCUGUGGCAUUUCUCAUUGGCUGAGCUGCAGUGUUUCUCAUGGGCUGAGCUGUGGCGUUUCCCAUUGGCUGAGCUGUGGCGUUUCCCAUUGGCUGAGCUGUGGUGUUUCUUAUUGGCUGAGCUGAGGCGUUUCUCAUUGGCUGAGCUGUGGUGUUUCUCAUUGGCUGAGCUGCAGUGUUUCUCAUUGGCUGGACUGUUGCCUGGUGGAGAGAGAAAUCUUCCGUCAGUAGUAAAGUAGUGGUAGUUCCUGUGGGAGAUGCAAGUGCCCAUCUCUUCCUGGUUGGUGUGAUUGACAUGUGUGAUGGGGUGAGAGCUCCCCUACAAGUCUCCGUGACUCUAGUUUAGUUGAGGUUUGUCUUAUUUCACAAGAGUUUCUGUUUGGAGUGAAGAGACAGUUUUGGAAAUAGUGGUGAUGGUUGCAUAACACGUGAAUGUACUUAAUGCCACUGAACUCUAUGCUUAAAAAUGGUUAUAUGACAACUUAUACAUUGUAUAUAUUUUACCACAGUUUAAAAAGUGAGCAGAAUGUGUCCACCACAGACAUGCACAGUAGGAAAUGUUAAAGGAAAUUCUUCAGGUUGAAGGGAAAUAAUAUAACAUGGAAACAGAUCUACAUGAAGAAAGAGGACAGGAAAUGGGAAAAUCCUGUAACCAGCACCAUGUGAAUGAGCCAGGGCUGGCCUGCUGGAGGACGGACAUCACACGCCCAGCUAAUACCACUGACCAUCCUGACAGCCAGCCAUCUACCAAACACGUGAGGCCAAAAAUUGCCAGCUAACCACAAAGUCAAUGAACCCAAGUGAUACCACACGGAGCAGAGAUGAACCAUCUCGGCUGCUCCCAGCCUGAAUGUCAUAAUUUAGGGCAAGUCACAUAAUUAUGAGAAAAUCAAUGGAUGUUGUUUAUGCCACUAAGUUUUCGGGUGAUUCCCUUUUUUUUUUCAAGUGUUUUUUUUUUUUUUUUCCUGAGGAAGAUUCGCUCUGAGCUAACACCUGUGGCCAAUCUUCCUCUUUUUGGUUGAGGAAUAUUCACCCUGAGCUAACAUCUUGCCAGUCUUCCUCUAUUUCAUAUGUGGGUCACCGGCACAGAAUGGCUGCUGACAAGUGGUGUAGUUCUGAGUCCAGGAACUGAACCUGGGCCGCCAAAGCAGAGGGUGCCAAACUUAACCAGUAGGCCACGGGGCUGGCCUCUAGGGUGACUUCUUACACUGCACAAACUGGCGGCUGCAUGGGUCUAGCACUGAGCCUGUUGUCUUCUGUGCUAGACGAGCUCUCUGCUCCUAGACUCCAGUCGCCAGGUGGCGGAGAGGAGAGCCGAGCCACUUGCUGAGAGGAGGCAGGGACUGUGGCUUUGUCUCCUGGGGUUGUGAGACUAUAAAUGGGAUGUAAGUGCUGUCACAGUUAACUUGCUAAAACUGAUCUUGACAGUUACACUUAAAACUCUUCAACACUCAUCAAACUGGCAAAGAUGAAAACAAUCCGCCUUCAGCACUGGCGAGGGGGGAGCAGAGGCUCCCUGACACUCUUCACUCUGAUGCUGGCAGAGCCUUUCUGAAGGGCAAUUUACAACACGUGCCAAGACCUUAAAUACCUUUUUUUUUUUUUGAAAGAGAUUAGCCCUGAGCUAACAUCUGCUGCCAAUCCUCCUCUUUUUGCUGAGGAAGGCUGGCCCUGAGCUAACAUCCAUGCCCAUCUUCCUCUACUUUAUACUUGGGACGCCUACCACAGCAUGGCUUUUGCCAAGCGGUGCCAUGUCCACACCCGGGAUCUGAACUGGCGAACCCCGGGCCACCGAAACAGAACAUGCGAACUUAACUGCUACGCCACCGGGCCGGCCCAUUGAAUACCUUUUGAGCAAUUUCACUUUUAGGAAUCCCCCAAAGGAAAUAACAAACCACAUGCAAGAACUUAUGAACAAAAAAUAUUGAGCACUGCGUUCUUUAUGAAUACCAGACAAAAAUGUUUAGCAUGUCUAUAGCCAUUUCCCGAAUGCCAGGCCUUGUUCUAGUGUUAACACAUAUGGACACAUUGAAGCCUCAUAACAGCCCUCUCAGGCGUCAUUUCCAUCUCAGGGGUGAGCAAAUGAGUGCACAGUGAGUCAAUCUCUCCUCUCAAAUCUGGCAGGACAGCCACACCCUCCCGAGACUCCUGCACAUCCUGGACCGUCUACUCCCUGGCCAUCUCUCCUCCAGUGGUCUCGUCUUGCUAACUGCCUGCUAUCCCUACCAUCUCUGUCUGUCUUCCUUCUCCCACAGCCUGCCCACAUGCAGGUCUGGGGUGGUAGAAAGGAUUUCCAUUACAGACAUUCCACAAACAAAAGAACCGGGUGUCAGACAUCCCAGCCGUGGGAAGUCCACUGAGAUGGGCUUCUCCUCUUCCUCACUGGGAGGCUUUCUCUCACCCUACCCACCCUGCUCUCCCCCACCUAGCUUCCAGCUCUUUUCCUAUGCAGAGGGUUUCUCUCUAUGUAGCCUGAGCAGCUUCCUCCUUCCUGAACUGCAAGCUGUGCCUCCCGACCACCCCACCCAGGUAAGCCCUGGGCCUUGCCACACCCCACUUCUCUCCAGCCCUACCACCUAAGGCUACGCAAGUGCACCAGCCUCUCUGAAGGGGGUGGAGGAGUAACUAAAAGGAAUGCAACGUAGCCACACCAAACACACUUAUCAGAGGGACAUGCACAAAAUGUCAAAUCCCACCUGGGUAUUAUCUGCCCCCCUGUCUCUAUGCCCUGCAAAGGUAUCUGCCUCCCUGCUCCACCGACCCAGCCUGCACCCACUCUUGGGGGAAUUUCCCCCUCCUGCCAUCUCCUUCCCUCUAGAAGGUCUACACAGGAGUCAGGUGACCUGACUCACCAGGCCCUCAGGUGGGCACAGGUGGUUGGCAGGCUGGGACCAUUACCUAACCAUGGAUGCCCCCCUCACCUUUUAUCCUGGAGGAGGGCAAACAGGAAGUGACUGGGGAACAGAACUACCCUCGAGGACCCUGUGGGUCCCCCCUUCACCCCAGCAUCACACACACACCCUGACCCUCACUUGCAGAGCGUGACCCUCAGACUCUCUGAGCCAGAUCCUGUUGGAAGAAAAGUUUAUGAGUCUACUGUUUC